AAGAUAAGUGUGGGAGGUCCCUA
This 23-nucleotide non-coding RNA is filed under the name Arabidopsis thaliana (thale cress). Lineage: Eukaryota; Viridiplantae; Streptophyta; Magnoliopsida; Brassicales; Brassicaceae. The record is from RNAcentral.